UAGAUGGAGGCCUGCUGGUUUCGGGCACCUAGCUGUUAACUAGGAGAUUGUGGGAUCGAGGCCCACCCGUCUAG
Non-coding RNA from Apus apus (common swift), 74 nucleotides. The record is from the annotation of a RefSeq genome assembly. NCBI's taxonomy places the organism in Eukaryota, Metazoa, Chordata, Aves, Apodiformes, Apodidae.